UUGAAAGAAGCUAAAAGCGUUUUACUGUUGAUAAAAAGAAGAUCAUUUAUCCUUUCAAU
Molecule: transfer RNA, 59 nt
Filed under: Lebertia trifurcilla
Lineage: Eukaryota; Metazoa; Arthropoda; Arachnida; Trombidiformes; Lebertiidae
Description: tRNA-Asn
Source: RNAcentral